This 408-nucleotide long non-coding RNA is filed under the name Pan troglodytes (chimpanzee). RNAcentral's name for it is "long non-coding RNA NONPTRT002874". The record is from RNAcentral. Lineage: Eukaryota; Metazoa; Chordata; Mammalia; Primates; Hominidae.
CCCCGGCGCCGGCACGCGGACCCGAACGAGGCGACAAGGUCGGUCCUCCCCCGCCGGGCCUUCCCCGCGCUCCCCGGCGCCCCCAGCCCGCUGACCCCCGGCCAGGCAGGCCCGCGGGGGAGGCAGGACCGGAGCCCUGAGGACCUGGCCGGCCUCGGGGUUGAGGCUCAGCUCGGGAUAAGUGAUCUUUGGGGCCCGCAGAGGACGUCUCCCCAAGACCCAGUGGCAACCGGGGCACCACUGAGUUCAGUACUUCAAAAUUGCCGUGCUCUACCUCUCCCCAGUGCACAGAAACACUCUCCACACCAAGCUGCUGCUGCUGGGGGAUGGAGGGAUGGCGUCAGCGAUUCAAGACUGUUUUUCCUACCUGUUCAGCACUUCUUUCAGCGAUAUGAAGUUAAAUCCAGG